GGGCGCGUAGCUCAGUCCGGAUUCAGAGCGUCGGACUUCUAACCGCGUCGGGACCCCGGCGAGGGAAGUCAUCCGACGGUCGCGGGUUCAAAUCCCGUCGCGCCCG
RNAcentral lists this transfer RNA (106 nucleotides) under Halobaculum gomorrense. It matches the Rfam family "tRNA". Rfam says of the family: Transfer RNA (tRNA) molecules are approximately 80 nucleotides in length. Their secondary structure includes four short double-helical elements and three loops (D, anti-codon, and T loops). Lineage: Archaea; Methanobacteriati; Methanobacteriota; Halobacteria; Halobacteriales; Haloferacaceae. The record is from Rfam by way of RNAcentral.